GUGACCAGCCGGGGGGCAGUGGGUGGGGUGGCGGCCGCAGCUGUGGCUUUCACAUUUGGGCUGGAGAGAGUGCAAGGGACUCGUCCUGCCCCUGGGAACCCAGUCGAAGGCCCAGGGCCGGGGGCGUUGGAGGAAGUCGCCCCGAGCGGCUCGCCUGUACCUGGAGGCGAGGCGACCCUGGGAGCCGGCGUCCCGCCUUCGGCGGCCUCCUUCUCCGACCCUCCUCCCGGGCUGGCUGCGGGCGGCUCCAGCUCUUUCUCGAGGGCUGCGGCGGGAACCGGCGAGCGGGCUGGACCGGACCCUCCCGCUGAGGACCGGCCGGAGGAGCAGAGGGAGCGCGGCGGGUCAGUCCGUCAGCCCAGAGGUCAGGCCGCGGGUUCCCGUCCGUGGUCCGUCCUUCGCCCAGCACUCCUGGCUAGAGUCCGCGACCUCCCCACGCUGCUCCUGCUUCUCCUUUGAGCAUGCCACCAAAUCCUCUGGCAGGGUGAUUUUUUUUCUCCUUGCUUUUGCCCAGAAGGAGAUACAUAUUGAAAGGACAUCUGUCCUCAUCGCUACCCCUCUCCUCUUAAAAGUUUUCUUUCAGGGGGAAUGCUUGUAUUCCAUUUGAUGAUUACUACUCCAGCCCCUGUCUGGUUUAGCAACUGGGAUCACCUUCAGAUCAGAUCUUAAAUCUUAUCACUUACAAAAUUACAGAGUUGUUCUCUCCCGCCCAAGAAGGGCAAAUGGACUUUGGAGUUAAGAUGCAGGGGGGUGAACCAGUGUCAACAAUGAAAGUCUCCGAGAGCGAAGGAAGGCUGGAGGGCCUGGCCACCGCGGUGACCCCGAACAAGAACAGCAGCAACAGCAGCUGUGGGGGUGGAAGCAGCAGCAGCGGCAGCAGCCGAGGCGGCAGUGCCAAAGGCUGGCAGUACAGUGAUCACAUGGAAAGUGUGUGUGGCUAUUUAAUGAAGUACACCAACCUUGUCACUGGGUGGCAAUACAGGUUUUUUGUUUUAAACAAUGAAGCUGGGCUAUUGGAGUACUUUGUGAAUGAACAGUCUAGAAAUCAAAAACCCAGAGGUACUUUGCAGCUUGCAGGAGCUGUAAUAUCACCCAGUGAUGAGGACUCUCACACCUUCACUGUAAAUGCUGCCAGUGGGGAACAGUAUAAACUCAGAGCCACAGAUGCUAAAGAGCGACAACAUUGGGUUAGCAGACUUCAGAUAUGUACACAACACCACACUGAAGCUAUUGGCAAGAAUAAUCCUCCUCUGAAAUCACGGAGCUUCUCACUUGCAUCUAGUGGUAAUUCUCCUAUAUCCCAGAGGAGACCCAGUCAAAAUGCCAUUUCCUUUUUUAAUGUUGGACAUUCCAAACUACAAUCAGUGAGCAAAAGAACUAACUUACCUCCAGACCAUCUUGUGGAAGUCAGAGAAAUGAUGUCUCAUGCUGAAGGACAACAAAGAGACUUAAUUAGAGGAAUUGAAUGCCUUCCUGCUUCCGGCCAUCUUAGUUCCUUGGACCAGGAUCUCUUAAUGCUCAAGGCUACUUCCAUGGCAACUAUGAACUGCUUAAACGACUGCUUUCAUAUUCUCCAGUUGCAGCAUGCAUCACAUCAGAAGGGCUCAUUGCCUUCAGGAACGACAAUCGAGUGGUUAGAACCAAAGAUACCUUUAUCAAACCACUAUAAAAAUGGAGCUGACCAGCCCUUUGCAACUGAGCAGAGUAAGCCAGUGGCAGUCCCAGAAGAGCAGUGCGUUGCAGAAUCUGGACUAUUCGCAAGGGAACCUGAAGAAAUAAAUGCAGAUGAUGAGGUGGAGGAUACUUGUGACAACAAGGAGGAUGACCUGGGAGCUGUGGAAGAGCAACGCAGUGUUAUCCUACAUCUCUUAUCACAGCUCAAGCUGGGCAUGGACUUAACAAGAGUGGUGCUGCCUACAUUUAUCCUAGAGAAGCGUUCCCUGUUGGAAAUGUAUGCAGACUUUAUGUCUCAUCCAGACCUGUUUAUAGCCAUCUCUAAUGGAGCUACAGCUGAGGACAGAAUGAUUCGUUUUGUUGAAUACUACCUUACCUCAUUUCAUGAAGGCCGUAAGGGAGCCAUUGCUAAGAAACCAUACAAUCCUAUCAUUGGAGAAACGUUUCACUGUUCCUGGAGGAUGCCAAAGCGCGAGGUAGCAUCCAGUGUCAUUAGCAGCUCUUCCACCCAGGCUGUCACAAAUCAUGCUCCUCCGUCAGAGGAGGCUUUGAGCCAGGUGGGAUCAGACUGUUACAUGGUCAGAUUUGUUGCUGAGCAGGUUUCCCAUCAUCCUCCAGUCUCAGGAUUUUAUGCAGAAUGUGCCGAGAGGAAGAUGUGUGUAAAUGUGCACGUCUGGACUAAGAGCAAAUUCUUAGGCAUGUCGAUAGGUGUGACAAUGGUUGGGGAAGGAAUCCUCAGUCUACUAGAGCAUGGAGAAGAGUAUACGUUUUCUCUACCUUGUGCAUAUGCCCGGUCAAUUUUAACUGUUCCUUGGGUAGAACUGGGUGGCAAAGUCAAUGUCAACUGUGCAAAAACUGGGUAUUCAGCCAGCAUCACUUUUCAUACUAAGCCAUUUUAUGGUGGCAAACUGCACCGGGUUACAGGUGAAGUAAAGCACAACAUCACCAACACUGUUGUUUGCAGAGUACAAGGGGAAUGGAAUAGUGUUCUUGAGUUCACUUACAGCAAUGGAGAGACAAAGUACGUGGACUUGACUAAAUUGGCAGUGACGAAGAAAAGAGUAAGACCUCUGGAGAAGCAGGACCCAUUUGAAUCCAGGCGAUUGUGGAGAAAUGUGACAGACUCUCUGAGGGAAUCUGAAAUCGAUAAGGCCACAGAGCAUAAACGUACCCUGGAAGAACGCCAGAGGACUGAAGAAAGGCAUCGUACUGAAACAGGCACACCUUGGAAAACCAAAUAUUUUAUUAAAGAGGGAGAUGGCUGGGUUUAUCACAAACCCCUUUGGAAAAUAAUUCCAACAGUACAACCAGCAGAGUGACACAUACUAUCUAAGACUCGACCAAAUGAACUUCUCUAUUUACCCUAAACUCUCCCAGAAUGGAGUCAUUGCACUGAGUGACCUGCUUCCUGAUUGCACAGACUGAAACUAACUACACACGAAUGUACCAAUUAGGGCACCAUAGAACUGCAGCAAGACCAAAGUGUUGAAGAAGCACGAUGGACCUCUCACCAAGCCGUUCAUGUGAUGUGAGCAAUAUCAUCUGAAGCCCUUUCACCUGAAUUAUUAGAUGAUUAAUCUUUUAUCCAGUUCCUGCUCCAAAAGCUAAGUUUGAAUCCCCUCUUUUUGCAUGGGGGCAGCAGAUAAACACAACAGUGAGAACUCAGUGAUUUUGAUUUCUUUGUAGUGAAAAUUGAAGUCUCUUUCAGAGUUUGUGCUUUGCUUUCUGUCAGUAACUGAAGUAUUCACUACUUUUACAACAAAUCAAGAGAAGGAAGAAGAUGACCCAGAAGUGGCUUCAGCCAUUCAUUGUGCCUGAAAUCAGUGUUAAAAAAAAGUCAACCAGGUUGUCGUAACAAGGCAUUCUGUUCCUUCAAAGAGAACUGUGUGCCUGUGUCUGAGGAACUUAUCCGUUAUCCACCUCUGUUGGAACUCUCUUUUAAGAAGUAUAUUUAUAAAUUGAUUAGAAUUAUAACCAUGGAGAAUUUUUUCUUCUGAGCAUUUUAAUAUACUUGAAAACAGCAUUGACUUGAAAAAUUUCAGAGCAUUUUUCAAUACCUAGUUUUAUUAAAUAUUAUACUUGAGAGACAGUUUUUUAAAACAUGGUCAUGUCAAUAUGAUGAGAUUUUGGCCCUUCUCAAGAACUGAGGCAUUAAAGAACAAGCAAAUAUUAAAAAAUAAGACUUACUGUUUUCCUUACCUUUUUUUCACUUGUAGGUUAAUAUAUCCAAUAUUACGUGCUAUCCCUCUGGAUAAGUAUGCUUUAUCUUACCUCUGUUCACUCAAAAUUUAAAACAACUAUUCAUAUUUGUCAGUAAUUCAGAAGUUAUAUAUGUGACUAAGUGCAUGUAUGGUAUGUUUUGUUUUUUCAAGGAAACGCAAAUGCUGAAGAAAGAGUAUGAAAUAAAAAGGUAUCAGGAAAAAGAGAUAUCAGGAAGUUGUAUUCAGGAAUUGUAUGUUAAGAAGUCCAAGACUAGAAGUGAAAAAAAGAGAAAAUUCUGGCCUUUAGAUUGUGUAUUGGGAGAGGUAUGGCAUCUGCAUAUUGAUUCACUGAAUUCUGCAAGUUGUAACCAACAUCACCUCUAAUACCUACUUGUCGCCAAAAAUAAGAAGAAGAAGAAGAAAAGUAUUGAGUCCCUUCACUCCACAACAACCCUGUGAAAUUGUAAAGUCAGGGAUGGCUGUUCAAACUUUACAGAUGAAGAAAUUAUUGCUCAGAAAGUUUAGUGCUCACUUCAAGUUACUUAGCUAGACCUUCAUUCAUUCAACAAACAUCUGCUGAGUAUUCCUUUGGGGCUGGGAUUCCUUUGUCUUUUGGCUGGGGAUAAAAUAAAAGUAUUCCUUUGCUACCCUGCAUUGGACUCUGAUGUGGCAAAUACUCUCCCUAUCCUUAGAGACUUGGAUGAGGGAAGAAGCUAAAACUUAAUUCCUGAGAAUGGGAUGUUGACACGGGCAAGGCUAUUGGUCUUUCCAAAUCCCAGAAAAGCAUCAGUGAUACCUAGGUAAUGUGGAAGGCAGAGUUGAGCAGUGAGCUGAAAACAACAGGGUUGGUUCAAAGUCUGCAUAAGAAGCCCCAAACAAUGCAUCCAGGUGACUAACCCUUAUUCCACCCUACAAGAGACUCUUGAGAGAUUGAACCAGAACCAACUGGUUCUGAUUGAACCAAUUCAGAUCUUUCAGCCCCUUCCCCUAUCCCAUUCCCAAAAUAUUGGCAGUCAGGCUUAUACCCUUAGGCGAGAGAUUAAAAGAUCCAUUUUAGGAGAACAACUCCAGAAAAAAAAAGUCCUACGAUAUAUUUGAAGGGUCCACCAGCAAAAAGCUCAGCUGACAACCCUGUUAAUUACUUUACAGUAAAGCCAAGUCAGCAGUUCCUCCAACAUAACCCUCCACCCUCUCACCAAUACAUUACACUUAUCCAUCGUCCA
This is an RNA transcript of Balaenoptera acutorostrata (minke whale), 5098 nucleotides long. It is a transcript of the gene named oxysterol binding protein like 11, with no coding region annotated. The record is from RefSeq and is a predicted model, not a curated record. The transcript is spliced from 14 exons. Lineage: Eukaryota; Metazoa; Chordata; Mammalia; Artiodactyla; Balaenopteridae.